RNAcentral lists this ribosomal RNA (253 nucleotides) under uncultured bacterium. RNAcentral's name for it is "partial 16S ribosomal RNA". It matches the Rfam family "Bacterial small subunit ribosomal RNA", at positions 524 to 776 of the family's 1533-position model. The record is from RNAcentral.
UACGUAGGGUGCAAGCGUUAAUCGGAAUUACUGGGCGUAAAGCGUGCGCAGGCGGUUAUGCAAGACAGAGGGGAAAUCCCCGGGCUCAACCUGGGAACUGCCUUUGUGACUGCAUAGCUAGAGUACGGUAGAGGGGGAUGGAAUUCCGCGUGUAGCAGUGAAAUGCGUAGAUAUGCGGAGGAACACCGAUGGCGAAGGCAGCCCCCUGGGCUAGCACUGACGCUGAGACGCGAAAGCGUGGGGAGCAAACAGG